AACGAACGCUGGCGGCAUGCCUAACACGUGCAAGUCGAACGAAGGCUUCGGCCUUAGUGGCGCACGGGUGCGUAACGCGUGGGAACCUGCCCCUCGGUUCGGAAUAACAGUUAGAAAUGACUGCUAAUACCGGAUGAUGACUUCGGUCCAAAGAUUUAUCGCCGAGGGAUGGGCCCGCGUAGGAUUAGCUAGUUGGUGGGGUAAAGGCCUACCAAGGCGACGAUCCUUAGCUGGUCUGAGAGGAUGAUCAGCCACACUGGGACUGAGACACGGCCCAGACUCCUACGGGAGGCAGCAGUGGGGAAUAUUGGACAAUGGGCGAAAGCCUGAUCCAGCAAUGCCGCGUGAGUGAUGAAGGCCUUAGGGUUGUAAAGCUCUUUUACCAGGGAUGAUAAUGACAGUACCUGGAGAAUAAGCUCCGGCUAACUCCGUG
RNAcentral lists this ribosomal RNA (433 nucleotides) under uncultured bacterium. RNAcentral's name for it is "bacterial SSU rRNA". It matches the Rfam family "Bacterial small subunit ribosomal RNA", at positions 29 to 507 of the family's 1533-position model. The record is from RNAcentral.